Molecule: ribosomal RNA, 253 nt
Filed under: uncultured bacterium
Lineage: Bacteria
Description: partial 16S ribosomal RNA
Rfam family: Bacterial small subunit ribosomal RNA
Source: RNAcentral
UACGAAGGACCCAAGCGUUAUCCGGAUUUAUUGGGUUUAAAGGGUGCGUAGGCGGGUUGUUAAGUCAGUGGUGAAAGCCCAUCGCUCAACGGUGGAACGGCCAUUGAUACUGCAAAACUUGAAUUAUUGGGAAGUAACUAGAAUAUGUAGUGUAGCGGUGAAAUGCUUAGAUAUUACAUGGAAUACCAAUUGCGAAGGCAGGUUACUAUCAAUAUAUUGACGCUGAUGGACGAAAGCGUGGGGAGCGAACAGG